Molecule: non-coding RNA, 116 nt
Organism: Triticum aestivum (bread wheat)
Lineage: Eukaryota; Viridiplantae; Streptophyta; Magnoliopsida; Poales; Poaceae
Source: Rfam
GAUAUAAUCCCUCCGCCCCAAAUUACUUGUCGCAGAAAUGGAUGUAUCUAGAACUAAAAAUACGUCUAGAUACAUCCAUUUGGGCGACAAGUAAUUUGGGACGGAGGGAAUACUUG